RNAcentral lists this ribosomal RNA (497 nucleotides) under uncultured bacterium. RNAcentral's name for it is "partial 16S ribosomal RNA". It matches the Rfam family "Bacterial small subunit ribosomal RNA", at positions 28 to 507 of the family's 1533-position model. The record is from RNAcentral.
GAUGAACGCUGGCGGCGUGCCUAAUACAUGCAAGUCGAGCGAAUAGACGAGGAGCUUGCUCCUCUGACGUUAGCGGCGGACGGGUGAGUAACACGUGGAUAACCUACCUAUCAGACUGGGAUAACUUCGGGAAACCGGAGCUAAUACCGGAUAAUAUAUUGAACCGCAUGGUUCAAUAGUGAAAGACGGUUUUGCUGUCACUUAUAGAUGGAUCCGCGCCGCAUUAGCUAGUUGGUAAGGUAACGGCUUACCAAGGCAACGAUGCGUAGCCGACCUGAGAGGGUGAUAGGCCACACUGGAACUGAGACACGGUCCAGACUCCUACGGGAGGCAGCAGUAGGGAAUCUUCCGCAAAGGGCGAAAGCCUGACGGAGCAACGCCGCGUGAGUGAUGAAGGUCUUCGGAUCGUAAAACUCUGUUAUUAGGGAAGAACAAAUGUGUAAGUAACUAUGCACGUCUUGACGGUACCUAAUCAGAAAGCCACGGCUAACUACGUG